This 1281-nucleotide ribosomal RNA is filed under the name uncultured bacterium. RNAcentral describes it as "partial 16S ribosomal RNA". It matches the Rfam family "Bacterial small subunit ribosomal RNA", at positions 1 to 1260 of the family's 1533-position model. The record is from RNAcentral.
GGAGUUCGACGGCCAGUGAUUAGAGUUUGAUCCUGGCUCAGGAUGAACGCUAGCGACAGGCUUAACACAUGCAAGUCGAGGGGCAGCGGGCGAGUGGCAACACUUGCUGUCGGCGACCGGCGCACUGGUGAGUAACACGUAUGCAACCUGCCCCCUUCUGGGAGAUAACCCAUAGAAAUGUGGCCUAAUAUCCCAUAGUCGGUCCAGCCGCAUGGCCGGGCCGGGAAAGGCGAGCCGGAAGGGGAUGGGCAUGCGGCGCAUUAGCUAGUUGGCGGGGCAGAGGCCCACCAAGGCGACGAUGCGUAGGGGUUCUGAGAGGAAGGUCCCCCACAUUGGUACUGAGACACGGACCAAACUCCUACGGGAGGCAGCAGUGAGGAAUAUUGGUCAAUGGGCGGGAGCCUGAACCAGCCAAGUCGCGUGAGGGAGGAAGGUCCUACGGAUUGUAAACCUCUUUAGCCGGGGAGCAACGUGCGCCACGUGUGGCGCAGUGAGAGUACCCGGAGAAUAAGCAUCGGCUAACUCCGUGCCAGCAGCCGCGGUAAUACGGAGGAUGCGAGCGUUAUCCGGAUUUAUUGGGUUUAAAGGGUGCGCAGGCGGCGCGAAAAGUCAGCGGUCAAAGUUCCGGGCUCAACCCGGUGACGCCGUUGAAACUUUCGUGCUGGAGUUCGUGCGAGGGAGGCGGAAUGCGUUGUGUAGCGGUGAAAUGCAUAGAUAUGACGCAGAACCCCGAUUGCGAAGGCAGCUUUCCAGCACGCGACUGACGCUGAGGCACGAAAGCGUGGGGAGCGAACAGGAUUAGAUACCCUGGUAGUCCACGCGGUAAACGAUGAAUACUAGCCCUGCGGCGCGAAUGGGUGCUGCGGGGCAGAGUGAAAACGUUAAGUAUUCCACCUGGGGAGUACGCCCGGCAACGGUGAAACUCAAAGGAAUUGACGGGGGCCCGCACAAGCGGAGGAACAUGUGGUUUAAUUCGAUGAUACGCGAGGAACCUUACCCGGGCUCAAACGGCGGGGAGACGCGUCCGGAACCGGGCGUUCCCUUUCUGGGCUGCCGCCGAAGUGCUGCAUGGUUGUCGUCAGCUCCUGCCCCUGAGGUGGUCGGCUUAAUUGCCAUAACAAGCGCCACCCCCCAUCUUUCAUUGCCAGCGGCCAAGGGCGGGCACUCUUGGAAGAACUGCCACCCCACGCUGUUAUGAAAAGAGAGGGAUGACUCAAUCAAUCAUGCCCUUACUUCCUGGUGCGCACACACCGGUUUACAUAUUGUCAAGGUUCCCCGACA